CCAGAUUAUAAAUUGCCUUGUCACUGAAGCAUCAGAGAGGCAACAGGGAGGAUGGAGUUUUUCAUUUUGUCCCAUAGCCUCUGCUAUGGAAGGAACACUAGCUUCAGAUCCUAAAAUCUUUUGACUACCCACGGAGAGUUGCACAAGAAGAAUGUCUGGCAUGGAAAAUUUUGUCAUCUGAUUUGGGAAGGCAGCCCAUGAUCCCAGGAUAAUUCUUCAUAUUUUUCUCUUGCCUCAUCCUUUCACCACAGAAAAGGAAAAAAUACUAUCUCACUCUCUUGGAUGAUACUUCUUUCUUCAUAUAUUACAUGCUGCAUGAAUAACAGGAUGCAUGCCCACAGUCAAACUGCCAUGAAACUGUUCUACAAACCAUAACUGUGUCCAGGGAGACAAGGUUAAUUUUGUACAAACACAUACAGAAGAAACUGGACAUUUUGUCAAGAACUUUUCCUAUGUAUUCUUCAGAACAAAACCCCUUCUAGUGUAUUUUUGGAUGUAUUGGGCUGUUUCUGUGACUGGUACUUUCAUUUAUAGCACAGCCAGUGUGCUGUAAAGAUGUCUUACUGUACAUGAGAAAUGGAACUCUAUUUCUAUUCAAGAAAGUCCAUUCAGAACAAGUACCAUACCCAGUUCAUAUCCAUGUUUAUCCUGUCCUAACAUAAUGUAUAGGACACAGGUAAAAAGAGGAAAUACUAAGACUUCAAAGAAUCUUCCAUCUGUUCUAAAUUCUUUGACAAAGCCAAGAAACCACAGUAAUUGCUCAGAUUGUACAAUCCAGUAACAGAAGACUGUCACUAGCCUUGCAUUCCCAGAAUAUAAACAGUCUUUCACACUUGUGACUUUUUUUAAGUUAAAAAGAUAAAAAGCAUGGACUUCUUUGUAUAUAUAGAUGUAUUUGGAACCAACAGUAAUGCUUGAAUUGAGGUCCUUUUCUUUUGAAAGAGGCUUUUUGCCUGUCCAAUUUACUUUUCCUUUCUGAAUACACCACUACCAAAUGUACUGAUUUUCUGCAAUGUACUGCAAAGCCUCUUUCAUCCAUUCCCCCGGAUACAAGAGAAACUGUGCUGCUAGUGCAUGAUGCAUAUUUUAGAACUUUAUUUGAUACCUGGAACAUUGGAGGAAUGACAUUUCAUUGAAAGGAUGAGAAAUAUAUUGCUGUUUUGUUGGUGAGAUUGUUACUUAAAGAACUGUAAGGGCACAGGCUGGUCACCUGUUCAGUUCUGUAAAUCUAAAUAAGUAAAAUAAAA
This is a long non-coding RNA of Corvus hawaiiensis (hawaiian crow), 1247 nucleotides long. RefSeq lists it as uncharacterized. The record is from RefSeq and is a predicted model, not a curated record. The transcript has 3 exons. NCBI's taxonomy places the organism in Eukaryota, Metazoa, Chordata, Aves, Passeriformes, Corvidae.